UCAAUCUCUCUCUGCUGGAAGUUGAGGUUAACCUCACGAGAGUUUAGGUCAUCGACCUCGCCGACUCCACAGCCUCCUCAUCUCUCUUUGGCCUCUCUUUGCAGGAGAUCAAGAUAAACAAGAUGGUUGUAGGCAGAGUUUUUGUUCCUAACAAGACGUUGGUCUCCUCUCCCAAGUUUCCAACAGGUUGUUUUCCUCUCCCAAGUUCCCAACAAACAAGAAGGCGUGCUCUCCUCUCCCAGGUCAAAAUGUGUGCUCUCUCUGAUCCUCUCCACUCCACGCCACACCAUCUCUCUCAUAUUACAAAGUACUUGGAAUUUCAAGCCAUGAAAUGAUUGCAAGAAGAAAUAAAGCAAAUCAGAAGGUGAAUAAAGGGCAACGGAGUUGGUCAUCUACAGACAGUGGCAGGCGAUGGCAGCCAACGGUGG
This is a long non-coding RNA of Prunus persica (peach), 428 nucleotides long. RefSeq lists it as uncharacterized. Lineage: Eukaryota; Viridiplantae; Streptophyta; Magnoliopsida; Rosales; Rosaceae. The transcript is spliced from 3 exons. The record is from RefSeq and is a predicted model, not a curated record.